Xiphophorus maculatus (southern platyfish) is the source of this 340-nucleotide non-coding RNA. Lineage: Eukaryota; Metazoa; Chordata; Actinopteri; Cyprinodontiformes; Poeciliidae. The record is from Rfam.
UUUCCGCGGGGUGUCUGAUCUAACCCUAAAUGAGGGUCUCCUCCUGUACUAAGCGUUUGCUGUUUUCUUGUUCCUGGCUUUCAGUAGAUUACAGGAGGACGUUAGCAGGAGCGUUAACAGGGAAAAAAAGCUAGGAAGUCACCCCGACGUGCUCAGCUUCCUCCCUGAAACCCCGGCGACGUUUGCCGUGGUCAGCCCGGCUGCCGCGAAGAGUUAGCCUCUGCUGCUCCGUGGGUUUUUGUCAGUGGGGGAGUCUCUGUGUCUGAGCAGAUUAAAACUGAGUGAGGUGACCCUGCCGGACCUGCUGUGGUCCGGUGAGGAAACCUGUGCUCAAACAUUC